GGAAAUGUGGCCUAAAGGUAAAGUGCUUGCCUUGCAUGCAUGAAGCCCCGGGUUCGAUUCCUCGGUACCA
RNAcentral lists this transfer RNA (70 nucleotides) under Dipodomys ordii (Ord's kangaroo rat). It matches the Rfam family "tRNA". Rfam says of the family: Transfer RNA (tRNA) molecules are approximately 80 nucleotides in length. Their secondary structure includes four short double-helical elements and three loops (D, anti-codon, and T loops). Lineage: Eukaryota; Metazoa; Chordata; Mammalia; Rodentia; Heteromyidae. The record is from Rfam by way of RNAcentral.